RNAcentral lists this unclassified non-coding RNA (359 nucleotides) under Cladonia cf. peltasta. RNAcentral describes it as "partial 28S-18S ribosomal RNA intergenic spacer". Lineage: Eukaryota; Fungi; Ascomycota; Lecanoromycetes; Lecanorales; Cladoniaceae. The record is from RNAcentral.
ACCGUAGCCCGUAACCGCCUCCGGGCGUGACGGGUGGCUGGUAUCCUCCUUCUGAGGGGUGUAUGGCGCAGCGUGGGCCGGCUUUCGGGUCGCGAAUUCCCGAUGUUGCGGCGGGACCACCCCUUGGGCGCCACUCAGUGAGCGCAAUUGGAUGGCCCGUUGGCACCUCUGGCGGCUUCGGCCCCGGGGGUGGCUUGGGCCGGGCGUUGGGCUUCGGUCCAUGUCCCGACCUCUUAACUAACCCUGACCCCCCCUUCAUUGAGGGGUUGCCGGUGGCCCUUCGCCCUUCGGGACGGGGUGGCCUCGCGGUCAAGAUAGUUACCUGGUUGAUUCUGCCAGUAGUCAUAUGCUUGUCUCAA